GGCGAACGCUGGCGGCGUGCUUAACACAUGCAAGUCGAACGGAAAGGCCCUGCUUUUGUGGGGUGCUCGAGUGGCGAACGGGUGAGUAACACGUGAGUAACCUGCCCUUGACUUUGGGAUAACUUCAGGAAACUGGGGCUAAUACCGGAUAGGAGCUCCUGCUGCAUGGUGGGGGUUGGAAAGUUUCGGCGGUUGGGGAUGGACUCGCGGCUUAUCAGCUUGUUGGUGGGGUAGUGGCUUAACAAGGCUUUGACGGGUAGCCGGCCUGACAGGGUGACCGGCGAGAAUGGGACUGAUUAAGGGCACUGAGUUCAGCGUGGGUACGCAGUGGCAUAUAUUGCGCUAUAGAAGGGAUGCUAUAGAAGCAACGCUGCGUGCGAGAUAAAGGCUUACGGAUUGUAUUCGGCUUUGGGCUAUGCCGGAGAGUGAGUGCCGGAAAUUGAUUAAGAAGAACAGGGUAAAUACGUG
RNAcentral lists this ribosomal RNA (468 nucleotides) under uncultured bacterium. RNAcentral's name for it is "partial 16S ribosomal RNA". It matches the Rfam family "Bacterial small subunit ribosomal RNA", at positions 28 to 507 of the family's 1533-position model. The record is from RNAcentral.